This 745-nucleotide ribosomal RNA is filed under the name uncultured Anaerococcus sp. Its description in RNAcentral is "bacterial SSU rRNA". It matches the Rfam family "Bacterial small subunit ribosomal RNA", at positions 28 to 776 of the family's 1533-position model. Lineage: Bacteria; Bacillati; Bacillota; Tissierellia; Tissierellales; Peptoniphilaceae. The record is from RNAcentral.
GAUUAACGCUGGCGGCGUGCAUAACACAUGCAAGUCGAACGAUGAAACUUAAAUGAUCUCUUCGGAGUGAAUUUAAGUGGAUUAGUGGCGGACGGGUGAGUAACGCGUGAGUAACCUGCCUUAGAGAAGGGGAUAGCCUUUGGAAACGAAGAAUAAUACCCUAUGAUACCAACACUACGCAUGUAGAGUUGGUCAAAGAUUUAUCGCUCUAAGAUGGACUUGCGUCUGAUUAGUUAGUUGGUGAGGUAACGGCCCACCAAGACAGCGAUCAGUAGCCGGCUUGAGAGAGUGUACGGCCACAUUGGGACUGAGACACGGCCCAGACUCCUACGGGAGGCAGCAGUGGGGAAUUUUGCACAAUGGGGGAAACCCUGAUGCAGCGACGCCGCGUGAUUUAGAAGGCCUUCGGGUUGUAAAAAUCUUUUCUAUGGGAAGAAAAUGACAGUACCAUAGGAAUAAGGACCGGCUAAUUACGUGCCAGCAGCCGCGGUAAUACGUAAGGUCCGAGCGUUGUCCGGAAUCAUUGGGCGUAAAGGGUACGUAGGCGGGUAAGCAAGUUAGAAGUGAAAUCCUAUAGCUCAACUAUAGUAAGCUUUUAAAACUGCUCAUCUUGAGGUAUGGAAGGGAAAGUGGAAUUCCUAGUGUAGCGGUGAAAUGCGCAGAUAUUAGGAGGAAUACCGGUGGCGAAGGCGACUUUCUGGCCAUAACCUGACGCUGAGGUACGAAAGCGUGGGUAGCAAACAGG